Molecule: long non-coding RNA, 1711 nt
Organism: Equus asinus (donkey)
Lineage: Eukaryota; Metazoa; Chordata; Mammalia; Perissodactyla; Equidae
Source: Ensembl
UCUGGAAGCACUGACUCUUCUUAAGCUCUACUUGUCAAAUGUGACAUCUCUGUAUUGCUUCUCUAGCUGGUGGGGUGCCAGUCUUCCCAGCUCGCGAGCACAAUGGGUCGUAUGUAUAUUUGUAACAUGGAUGUCUAUCCUUUUCUUCAUUAGAAGGUCCCUCCUUUAACAUGUGAAAUUAAGUAGAAGACUUGAUCUUACAGAUCUCUUGAGUUGUCCACACAGAAGUCUCUUCAAUGUUGUGCGGGAUUUCCCAUUGCUCCAAUUUCCACCGUGCCCCCCGGUGGUGAUAUUUUUGACUCUUGUUCUGUUUCAAUCCUGUCAUCUGUGGAUGAAAUAAUGCUCCCCUCGCUAGAACCACAGGAGAGACGGUUCUGGCGUCUGCUGCAUACUGUGUCCAUUCCUGUGCUGCCCGCAGACUAUGAAACCCUCAAUCACCAUGGUGAAUUUCCACUUGGAAGAUCUGUUGUCCUGUCUUCACUGUGAUGUCUUGGCAUCACUCGAGGUGUGAAAUGGCUCUGCGCCACAUGGAGAAAGAGCAAAAUGUCACUUUCGAGGUUUGUGACAAAAUUUCGUGAUAGAUUCUUCGGGUGGAGUGAGAGGCCUUUCUCACUGCUGUGACACUGCUGCUGAGGUGGAAAAGCUGAAGAACAGAUUAUUCAGUUUCUACACGGAGCCCUGCUCGACAUGAUGCUAAAACAUGGUGUUUUUUGGACCCAGGUUUUCACUGAUAACAAAGAGGAAGAUUAAGACCAGGAAGCUGGUUUACAGCCAUCAUAAUCUGCAAAGAGGUCUCUGCCAGGGCAGCAAGCAUCCAUUUCUUUCUUCCAGUACAUCAGACAGUGGGCAGGAAAAGAUGAGCUUUCAAAGGGUCAGUUUUCUUCUACCAUUACAAAGUUUAGUGCCUUAAAAAAAAAAAUCAACAGAACUGGGAAAUCUCACUUUGGGAGACAGCCUGGCCCUUCUUCAUAACCCGUUCCUCCAAGCAAACUUGAUUUGCUUAUUAAAAUAGGCAUGAAGAAGCUCUUCCGUGAAGCUUCCUUUUCCACCUGAUGUGUAUGAAAGGUUUCAAGAACUUGGCUGCACUCCCCCAGCAGUUUCUUGAGGACAACACAGAUGAAUCUGGGAAAAUCAGCAUAGAGGAAGAAUCACAUGUUAUACCAGAAUCACAUGUUAUUUCCAUCCGGGUCAACUCUUAAGACUGCUUCUGAAUCCUUCGGUUGUGAUGAAUGUGGGACACCUUUCGAGAUGGGGGAGUUCAGAUCUUGCACAGAAAGCUUCUUUGUUCCUCCAAGGACUUUGAAGACAUCGCCCACCCCUACAGUGGUUUGGAAUGUGGAGAGAGGAUUUUGGUUCUCACCAUUGACCAGGAGUUGUUCUUGGCUUUUGGUGGUAAUGUGCAGGAUGUUCUCACACCACAAGUAAUUGUCCGGCCUCAAAUCCCAACGGUCCCUUCACGUAGGAAACGUUCCCCACUCCUCUCCCAGGUCCUGCCUCUGGUUUAGGUUGUAGACUCUGGGAGAGAACGGGUGUGGUGGGCUCUCUUCACUGCCCUGACGGAAGGGCACCUAGAAGAGCGCCUUCCAUGCAGUGAGUGCUCAGUAAACAUUUGUUGAGGAAAUGCCACUUAUAAAGACAGUGAUUGAUUGGUGGACAAUAAGAUACAUAAAAUAAAAACCUACUGACCCAAGUUCAAUUUCCCUGGGCCUUC